Molecule: long non-coding RNA, 310 nt
Filed under: Prunus persica (peach)
Lineage: Eukaryota; Viridiplantae; Streptophyta; Magnoliopsida; Rosales; Rosaceae
Description: long non-coding RNA (PPER_LNC004324)
Source: RNAcentral
GAAGCAGGGUCGAUAAAGAAAACAGCACUCUCAAGAAAAAAUGGUUUACUGCACAAAACAAACAUGUUAAUGUUAUACAUUAAUAUCAUUUGGUAGAGAUAUAAUUCUUAGCUAGCUGCUACACCAAUUUGAAGUGCUGACAAUUGACAUUGAGGGUGAAGGCCUGCGUCUAUUCAUGUAAUUGGAAAAAAGCCAACUGAUACAAUAGGGAAAAAACCUAACUGAUACAAUACUACAUCAAUUACAUGCACAAUCAGCAUCUCAACACAGAAAAAAGUAAAAAUUUCGGAAAAAGACUUAGAUCUGAAAA